UUAAUGUAGCUUAUUUAAAGCAAAGCACUGAAAAUGCUUAGAUGGAUGCAAGCAUCCCAUAAACA
RNAcentral lists this transfer RNA (65 nucleotides) under Stenocranius gregalis (narrow-headed vole). Its description in RNAcentral is "tRNA-Phe". It matches the Rfam family "tRNA". Rfam says of the family: Transfer RNA (tRNA) molecules are approximately 80 nucleotides in length. Their secondary structure includes four short double-helical elements and three loops (D, anti-codon, and T loops). The record is from RNAcentral. Lineage: Eukaryota; Metazoa; Chordata; Mammalia; Rodentia; Cricetidae.